GGCAGGAUAGCUCAGGGGUAGAGCAGGGGACUCAUAAGCCCUUGGUCGGCGGUUCAAAUCCGCCUCCUGCUACCA
Molecule: transfer RNA, 75 nt
Filed under: Verrucomicrobiales bacterium
Lineage: Bacteria; Pseudomonadati; Verrucomicrobiota; Verrucomicrobiia; Verrucomicrobiales
Also listed under: 2 other names
Description: tRNA-Met
Rfam family: tRNA
About the family: Transfer RNA (tRNA) molecules are approximately 80 nucleotides in length. Their secondary structure includes four short double-helical elements and three loops (D, anti-codon, and T loops). Further hydrogen bonds mediate the characteristic L-shaped molecular structure. tRNAs have two regions of fundamental functional importance: the anti-codon, which is responsible for specific mRNA codon recognition, and the 3' end, to which the tRNAs corresponding amino acid is attached (by aminoacyl-tRNA synthetases). tRNAs cope with the degeneracy of the genetic code in two manners: having more than one tRNA (with a specific anti-codon) for a particular amino acid; and 'wobble' base-pairing, i.e. permitting non-standard base-pairing at the 3rd anti-codon position.
Source: RNAcentral